UGAAUAUUCAUUGAGACGAAGUAUGGUAUUAAGUGAAGGAAAGGGGAAUUUUAGGAAAAAGAUCUUUUUUUUAGAUCUUUUUUCCCUUACUCUUUAAUAUCAUCGUAAUUUUUUUGCUAUCACUCUAGAUCGUAUAUAAAAUAGUUGUAUAUUUAGAUUCCCCUAUUCUAUUCCCAAAGUUAAGUAAUUCUCUUGAGCCACCCACCAUAUUUAUACAUUGCUUUGGGCUAAGCUAAAUAAGACUAUUUCAAUGAUGGCCCUCCAUGGAUUCACCUNNNN
RNAcentral lists this long non-coding RNA (279 nucleotides) under Nicotiana benthamiana. RNAcentral's name for it is "long non-coding RNA (NBEN_LNC033924)". Lineage: Eukaryota; Viridiplantae; Streptophyta; Magnoliopsida; Solanales; Solanaceae. The record is from RNAcentral.